GACGAACGCUGGCGGCGUGCUUAACACAUGCAAGUCGAACGGAAAGGCCCUGCUUUUGUGGGGUGCUCGAGUGGCGAACGGGUGAGUAACACGUGAGUAACCUGCCCUUGACUUUGGGAUAACUUCAGGAAACUGGGGCUAAUACAGGAUAGGAGCUCCUGCUGCAUGGUGGGGGUUGGAAAGUUUCGGCGGUUGGGGAUGGACUCGCGGCUUAUCAGCUUGUUGGUGGGGUAGUGGCUUACCAAGGCUUUGACGGGUAGCCGGCCUGAGAGGGUGACCGGCCACAAUGGGACUGGGAUACGGCCCAGUCUCCUACGGGAGGCAGCAGUGGGAAGUAUUGCGCAAUGGGCCGAAGCGUGAGGCAGCAGCGCCGCGUGCGGGAUGACGGCCUUCGGGUUGUGAACCGCUUUCGCCUGUGACGAAGCGUGAGUGACGGUAAUGGGUAAAGAAGCACCGGCUAACUACGUG
RNAcentral lists this ribosomal RNA (468 nucleotides) under uncultured bacterium. Its description in RNAcentral is "partial 16S ribosomal RNA". It matches the Rfam family "Bacterial small subunit ribosomal RNA", at positions 28 to 507 of the family's 1533-position model. The record is from RNAcentral.